This 25-nucleotide non-coding RNA is filed under the name Gossypium hirsutum (cotton). The record is from RNAcentral. Lineage: Eukaryota; Viridiplantae; Streptophyta; Magnoliopsida; Malvales; Malvaceae.
AGAUCCCGUACAAGAUGGUGUUAAA